CGAAUGUCACCGGUAUUCUUCAUUAUUUCGUUUCAAGAAAAGUGAAAAUGUUGCCUCGCAAAUUGCGAAUCAACGACAUUAAUGGCAUUCAAAGGUUCAUUGUGGUAUUCGUUAUAUUUCUCGGUGUGGUAAUGAAUUUCUUUACGCGACACAGUUUGAAUCUCGCAAUGACAAAAUUGAAUCCGAAAGUAGAAACUAAAUCGCUCAGUUUUACGGAAACAUACGUUUGGAAUUCAAAAUUGGAGAGUUACAUUCACGCAGCAUUUUAUGUCGGUUAUGUACCUGG
Molecule: long non-coding RNA, 286 nt
Organism: Bradysia coprophila
Lineage: Eukaryota; Metazoa; Arthropoda; Insecta; Diptera; Sciaridae
Source: RefSeq, a predicted model, not a curated record